This 219-nucleotide long non-coding RNA is filed under the name Prunus persica (peach). RNAcentral describes it as "long non-coding RNA (PPER_LNC001953)". Lineage: Eukaryota; Viridiplantae; Streptophyta; Magnoliopsida; Rosales; Rosaceae. The record is from RNAcentral.
AAAAACAGACGUAUUUGGCAUAUAUAGACGACGGAUUUUCAACAGACGUCGUCUAAUAUAAGUAAUACAAGCGACAGUUUUUGAAAAAACCGUCGUGUAUAAGUAAUACAACGACGGUUUUUUCAUAAACCGUCGUGUAAUCGCCGUCGUAUGCCUAAAAAGGCGUCGUGUCUCAGUUUAUUUUCAAGAACCCAAAACCCAUUAAGAACACAACAUAUA